RNAcentral lists this ribosomal RNA (555 nucleotides) under Triticum aestivum (bread wheat). RNAcentral's name for it is "partial small subunit ribosomal RNA". The record is from RNAcentral. Lineage: Eukaryota; Viridiplantae; Streptophyta; Magnoliopsida; Poales; Poaceae.
AUGGCAGAAUGCUUCAAUAAGGUGCUCAAGGGUGUACGUGCAUUACCCGUGACGGCAAUAGUUCAAUACACAUUUGACAAGAUGAAUGAAUACUUUUUGAAGCACUCAAUGGAGACUGAUAAGCAGAUUGCUGGUGAGAACAAGGAUAAGCACAAGUACAAUUUCCCACCAAAGGUUGAAGAAUGGUUGGAAUUUCAAUCACGAAAGGCAGACUCCGAAGAAGCUGUUCUAUAUGACGACAACGAGUGGAAGUAUGAGGUGAAAGAGCCCGGAGGAACCACAAAUGAUGGCCGCCAGCACGGAGGCCGGGCUUUCAAGGUCUCCCUAACACGGUGUGAUUGCAGCUGCAUGAGGCCGUCUUUGCUUCAUCUCCCAUGCUCGCACUUGUUAAAUGCAUCCCGGGUUAGGAAUGUGGACGUCAAUCACCCUCUAACCGCGAGGGAGUCCGAGUUCUCAAUCAUGACGGUAAAGAAGACAUGGACUCCACGGUUCCAGCCAUACUUGGACCAAUCACAAUGGCCGGAGUAUCAUGGAGUUCAACUAUGGCCGGACCCG